This 483-nucleotide ribosomal RNA is filed under the name uncultured bacterium. RNAcentral describes it as "partial 16S ribosomal RNA". It matches the Rfam family "Bacterial small subunit ribosomal RNA", at positions 28 to 523 of the family's 1533-position model. The record is from RNAcentral.
GAUGAACGCUAGCGGCAGGCUUAAUACAUGCAAGUCGAGGGGGCAGCAAUGUCACCGGCGAACGGGUGCGUAACGCGUAUGCAACCUACCUACAUCAGGGGGAUAGCCCUAGGAAACUGGGAUUAACACCGCAUAAUAUAAGCUACGGCAUCGUAACUUAUUGAAAUAUUUAUAGGAUGUAGAUGGGCAUGCGUAGGAUUCGUUAGUUGGUAAGGUAACGGCGUACCAAGGCUACGAUCCUUAGGGGCUCGGAGAGGAGUAUCCCCCACACUGGAGAUGGGAUACGGGCCAGACUCCUACGGGAGGCAGCAGUAGGGAAUAUUGGGCAAUGGAGGCAGCUCUGACCCAGCCAUGCCGCGUGCAGGGAGACGGUCCUCUGUAUUGUAAACUGCUUUUGAAUGGGAAGAAUGUGCUUCUUGCGAGGGGUAAUGACGGUACCAUUAGAAUAAGCCACGGCUAACUACGUGCCAGCAGCCGCCGUAA